Molecule: ribosomal RNA, 440 nt
Filed under: uncultured bacterium
Lineage: Bacteria
Description: partial 16S ribosomal RNA
Rfam family: Bacterial small subunit ribosomal RNA
Source: RNAcentral
CCUACGGGCGGCUGCAGUGGGGAAUAUUGCACAAUGGGGGAAACCCUGAUGCAGCGACGCAGCGUGAGUGAAGAAGUAAUUCGUUAUGUAAAGCUCUAUCAGCAGGGAAGAAAAUGACGGUACCUGAGUAAGAAGCCCCGGCUAACUACGUGCCAGCAGCCGUGGUAAUACGUCGGGGGCAAGCGUUAUCCGGAUGUAAUGGGUGUAAAGGGAGCGUAGACGGCAUUGCAAGUCUGGAGUGAAAGGCGGGGGCUCAACCCCUGGACUGCUCUGGAAACUGUACGGCUUGAGUGCAGGAGAGGUAAGUGGAAUUCCUAGUGUAGCGGUGAAAUGCGUAGAUAUUAGGAGGAACACCAGUGGCGAAGGUGGCUUACUGGACUGUAACUGACGUUGAGGCUCGAAAGCGUGGGGAGCAAACAGGAUUAGAUACCCCAGUAGUC